GCUGCUGUAGCUCAGUUGGUAGAGCACGUCCUUGGUAAGGACGAGGUCAUGGGUUCGAGUCCCAUCAGCAGCUCCA
Molecule: transfer RNA, 76 nt
Filed under: Deltaproteobacteria bacterium
Lineage: Bacteria; Pseudomonadati; Myxococcota; Myxococcia
Also listed under: 1 other name
Description: tRNA-Thr
Rfam family: tRNA
About the family: Transfer RNA (tRNA) molecules are approximately 80 nucleotides in length.
Source: RNAcentral